GAUCCUGGCUCCGGAUGAACGCUAGCGACAGGCUUAACACAUGCAAGUCGAGGGGCAUCAUGAGGUAGCAAUACCUUGAUGGCGACCGGCGCACGGGUGAGUAACGCGUAUGCAACCUGCCUGAUACCGGGGUAUAGCCCAUGGAAACGUGGAUUAACACCCCAUAGUACUUUUAUCCUGCAUGGGAUGUGAGUUAGAUGUUCAAGGUAUCGGAUGGGCAUGCGUCCUA
This 229-nucleotide ribosomal RNA is filed under the name uncultured bacterium. RNAcentral's name for it is "partial 16S ribosomal RNA". It matches the Rfam family "Bacterial small subunit ribosomal RNA", at positions 15 to 240 of the family's 1533-position model. The record is from RNAcentral.